CUACGGGAGGCUGCAGUCGAGAAUUUUCGGCAAUGGACGCAAGUCUGACCGAGCAACGCCGCGUGUGCGAUGAAGGCCUUCGGGUUGUAAAGCACUGUCGAGGGGGAGAAAAACUGAUCGACCCCUGGAGGAAGGACGGGCUAAGUUCGUGCCAGCAGCCGCGGUAAGACGAACCGUCCAAACGUUAUUCGGAAUCACUGGGCUUAAAGGGCGCGUAGGCGGGUGGUCAAGUCAGGGGUGAAAUCCUCCAGCUUAACUGGAGAAGUGCCUCUGAUACUGGCUGUCUUGAGUGAGGUAGGGGCAUAUGGAACUUCCGGUGGAGCGGUGAAAUGCGUAGAUAUCGGAAGGAACGCCAGUGGCGAAAGCGAUAUGCUGGACCUUUUUCUGACGCUGAGGCGCGAAAGCUAGGGGAUCAAACGGGAUUAGAUACCCUGGUAGUC
This 440-nucleotide ribosomal RNA is filed under the name uncultured bacterium. Its description in RNAcentral is "partial 16S ribosomal RNA". It matches the Rfam family "Bacterial small subunit ribosomal RNA", at positions 339 to 795 of the family's 1533-position model. The record is from RNAcentral.